This 492-nucleotide ribosomal RNA is filed under the name uncultured bacterium. RNAcentral's name for it is "partial 16S ribosomal RNA". It matches the Rfam family "Bacterial small subunit ribosomal RNA", at positions 28 to 507 of the family's 1533-position model. The record is from RNAcentral.
GAUGAACGCUAGCUACAGGCUUAACACAUGCAAGUCGAGGGGAAACGACAUCGAAAGCUUGCUUUUGAUGGGCGUCGACCGGCGCACGGGUGAGUAACGCGUAUCCAACCUGCCCACCACUUGGGGAUAACCUUGCGAAAGUAAGACUAAUACCCAAUGACGUCUCUAGAAGACAUCUGAAAGAGAUUAAAGAUUUAUCGGUGAUGGAUGGGGAUGCGUCUGAUUAGCUUGUUGGCGGGGUAACGGCCCACCAAGGCGACGAUCGGUAGGGGUUCUGAGAGGAAGGUCCCCCACAUUGGAACGGAGACACGGUCCAAACUCCUACGGGAGGCAGCAGUGAGGAAGAUUGGUCAAUGGACGAGAGUCUGAACCAGCCAAGUAGCGUGCAGGAGGACGGCCCUAUGGGUUGUAAACUGCUUUUAUAAGGGAAUAAAGUGAGUCUCGUGAGACUUUUUGCAUGUACCUUAUGAAUAAGGACCGGCUAAUUCCGUG